Molecule: unclassified non-coding RNA, 366 nt
Filed under: uncultured fungus
Lineage: Eukaryota; Fungi
Description: partial contains 5.8S ribosomal RNA, internal transcribed spacer 2, and large subunit ribosomal RNA
Source: RNAcentral
AACGCAUAUGGCACCCGAGGCUUCGGUCGAGGGUAUAUCUGUCUCAGAGUCGACGUAAAAACAUCCCCACGGAAAAGACCUACGGGUUUUCCCGUCGGGGGAGCUGGCCCCCUCGGAGGUCGUGACCUAGCGUCAGGAGCCCUCCGGGUCGGCUGAAGGUGAGAGACGGGGGACCGCACGCGUCGGACAGCCACGAUUUUGGUGGGAGGACCUCGCGUCCGCAUCACAGAUCGGGCGUCCCCUGCGUACAUCUUCUGUACGUGGAGCGUGUGGCCGUUUGGGCCCCGCCUUUGCAGGAAAUGACGGGUAACGCGAGUUACCUACCACUCCGACCUGAGAUCAGGUAAGAUCACCCGCUGAACUUAA